GAUGAACGCUGGCGGCGUGCCUGAUACAUGCAAGUCGAACGCACAGCGAAAGGUACUUGCACCUUUCAAGUGAGUGGCGAACGGGUGAGUAACACGUGGACAACCUGCCUCAAGGCUGGGGAUAACAUUUGGAAACAGAUGCUAAUACCGAAUAAAACUCAGUGUCGCAUGACACAAAGUUAAAAGGCGCUUUGGCGUCACCUAGAGAUGGAUCCGCGGUGCAUUAGUUAGUUGGUGGGGUAAAGGCCUACCAAGACAAUGAUGCAUAGCCGGGUUGAGAGACUGAUCGGCCACAUUGGGACUGAGACACGGCCCAAACGCCUACGGGAGGCUGCAGUAGGGAAUCUUCCACAAUGGGCGAAAGCCUGAUGGAGCAACGCCGCGUGUGUGAUGAAGGCUUUCGGGUCGUAAAGCACUGUUGUAUGGGAAGAACAGCUAGAAUAGGGAAUGAUUUUAGUUUGACGGUACCAUACCAGAAAGGGACGGCUAAAUACGUGCCAGCCGCCGCUGUAA
Molecule: ribosomal RNA, 513 nt
Filed under: uncultured bacterium
Lineage: Bacteria
Description: partial 16S ribosomal RNA
Rfam family: Bacterial small subunit ribosomal RNA
Source: RNAcentral